CCGGGCUAUUAAAAUAUUGAGGGUUAUUCAAAAAUUAUCUCCUUUCAUUAUGUCUGGGCUCAAAUGGGGUGACUAGGGAUAUCUCCAUGGUGUUUAUGAAUUACAAAAAAUGCCUUGAGUCAUUAGAAAAAUUUGCUUGAAGAUGUACAUCAUUUUUUUUGUUCUUACAUUUGCAUCAUCCUCCAUUUUAUUUGAAAUCAAAUAUCUCACAGCAAUGCAUAGAUUAAUUUUAUUUGAGUUUGUUUGGUUAUGUGUUCUUUGGAUAAAUAUGGUGAGUGGAGUUAGUAUGGUUAGGUAUCAAAUGGUGAAACUUGCAUGAUCAAUGUCUCAAUAUAUACUUGUUAAAAAGAUAUGCAUUUGAAAGUAAAUUUUUCUGAGUGAAUGCUUGAAUGGUUCAACCUUAACUUUAGUCCUCAAGUGAAGAGAAAUUUUCGGAUUGGUCUCCAACUUUGCUAUGGUUGAAGAUAAUGCACUAUCGAGUAUGGACUCAACCACAAACUGGGAUUUCUCUAUCUUCUUGAAUGUCUUCAGUUUCAAUAUUGAUGGCUUUCAUUCGAGUCUAACAGACUUAUUCUUUAAACCAAUCUUCCAUUUAUGAGUGUCCUUAGCAGUGAGAUCAUGAAAUGCAUGCAAAAAAUGAUUUAUG
This 646-nucleotide long non-coding RNA is filed under the name Lupinus angustifolius (narrow-leaved blue lupine). Its description in RNAcentral is "long non-coding RNA (LANG_LNC002417)". The record is from RNAcentral. Lineage: Eukaryota; Viridiplantae; Streptophyta; Magnoliopsida; Fabales; Fabaceae.